GGGCCAUUAGCUCAAUUGGUAGAGCAGCUGACUCUUAAUCAGUAGGUUGAAGGUUCGAGUCCCUCAUGGCCCACCA
Molecule: transfer RNA, 76 nt
Filed under: Gammaproteobacteria bacterium
Lineage: Bacteria; Pseudomonadati; Pseudomonadota; Gammaproteobacteria
Description: tRNA-Lys
Rfam family: tRNA
About the family: Transfer RNA (tRNA) molecules are approximately 80 nucleotides in length. Their secondary structure includes four short double-helical elements and three loops (D, anti-codon, and T loops).
Source: RNAcentral